Molecule: non-coding RNA, 119 nt
Organism: Cajanus cajan (pigeon pea)
Lineage: Eukaryota; Viridiplantae; Streptophyta; Magnoliopsida; Fabales; Fabaceae
Source: Rfam
AGGUGCGAUCAUACUAUCACUAAUGCACCAGAUCGCAUCAGAACUCUGCAAUUAAGUGUGCUUGGGCGAGAGUAGUACUAGGAUGGGUCACCUCCUUUGAAGUCCUCGUGUUGCACCUC